Molecule: unclassified non-coding RNA, 89 nt
Filed under: Pseudomonas sp. Z003-0.4C(8344-21)
Lineage: Bacteria; Pseudomonadati; Pseudomonadota; Gammaproteobacteria; Pseudomonadales; Pseudomonadaceae
Source: RNAcentral
UGUGGGAGCGGGCUUGCCCGCGAUGGCUUCGGCACAUUCAACAUUGGUGUGUCUGAAAUUCAGCUAUCGCGGGCAAGCCCGCUCCCACA